AAAUGACACUACUGUAAGUCUCUCUGGUUAAGAGUGUCUGCUAAAUGACUCACU
Molecule: non-coding RNA, 54 nt
Organism: Salmo salar (Atlantic salmon)
Lineage: Eukaryota; Metazoa; Chordata; Actinopteri; Salmoniformes; Salmonidae
Source: Rfam